RNAcentral lists this ribosomal RNA (310 nucleotides) under uncultured eukaryote. Its description in RNAcentral is "partial 18S ribosomal RNA". It matches the Rfam family "Eukaryotic small subunit ribosomal RNA", at positions 1470 to 1796 of the family's 1831-position model. The record is from RNAcentral.
CCCUUAGAUGUUCUGGGCGACCCGCGCACUACAAUGGCGCUUUCAGCGAGUUCCUAUGUUGAAUUUUCCUGGGUAUUCUUGGAAGCGGCGUCUUGACUUGGGAUAGAUCCUUGUAAUUGUUGGUUUUGAACGAGGAAUUCCUUGUAAUCGCGGUUGAUCAGCUCGCGUUGAAUACGUCCCUGCCCUUUGUACACACCGCCCGUCGCUCCUACCGAUGAAUCGUCCGGUGAAGUUCACAGAGUGGCGGUUCGUGGAGUUGCUCGCGAAGUGAAAUGGACCUCACGAUUUAGAGGAAGGAGAAGUCGUAACA